RNAcentral lists this long non-coding RNA (251 nucleotides) under Elaeis guineensis (African oil palm). RNAcentral's name for it is "long non-coding RNA (EGUI_LNC029369)". The record is from RNAcentral. Lineage: Eukaryota; Viridiplantae; Streptophyta; Magnoliopsida; Arecales; Arecaceae.
CUAAAGUAAGAUGAAGAGAGAUCGGAUGUAAACCGAGAUGAGCAUUCCAUUUAAUAGCAGUUUUGAACUAAGUUAAUUAGCAGAUAACACUGGAGAAGCAGAUCGAUCUUGAGCCGAUGUGAGCUGAAAGGACUUUUAUCUCAAAUAAUAAUGUGCUGCCACGUGUUCAGAUGGUGUUAAGAUCGAAUAAUAUGCAGCAAUAUAUGUUAAUAUCUAUAUUUGGAUAAUUAUAAUGCAGGUGGAUCACCAUA